This 99-nucleotide ribosomal RNA is filed under the name uncultured bacterium. RNAcentral describes it as "partial 16S ribosomal RNA". It matches the Rfam family "Bacterial small subunit ribosomal RNA", at positions 395 to 508 of the family's 1533-position model. The record is from RNAcentral.
CGCCGCGUGAGUGAUGAAGGCCCUCGGGGUUGUAAAGCUCUGUCGGAGGGGAAGAAUACAUGACGGUACCCUCCAAGAAAGCCCCGGCUAACUACGUGC